GAGACUCUGUGCGCGUGCAUAUCAAUAAGCGGAGGAAAAGAAACUAACAAGGAUUCCCUUAGUAACGGCGAGUGAAGCGGGAAGAGCUCAAAUUUGAAAUCUUCAAGGUUCUACCUUGACGAAUUGUAGUUUAUAGAAGCGUUUUCUGUUAGUAGAGUGGCAAAAGUUCUUUGGAAUAGGACAUCAUAGAGGGUGAGAAUCCCGUAUUUGGUCAUUCUUUCUAGCUUUGUGAUACACUUUCAACGAGUCGGAUUGUUUGGGAAUGCAGUCCAAAAUGGGUGGUAAAUUUCAUCUAAAGCUAAAUAUUGGCGAGAGACCGAUAGCGAACAAGUACCGUGAGGGAAAGAUGAAAAGAACUUUGAAAAGAGAGUUAAACAGUACGUGAAAUUGUCAAAAGGGAAGCGUUUGACACCAGUGUUGUUUUUCCGAAAAUCAAUUACGAAUGUUUUGUUUUUGAGAAGUUAUGACUUCAUCGGCUUGCUUCUCUCUUUACGAAACUUUCCUAAUGCACUUUUCGGCUAACAAGUCAACAUCAAUUUCUUUUGUUGUAAAAGGGUAUGAGGAAGGUGGCUUUCUUUUCGGAGAAAGUGUUUAUAGCCUUGUACCUCUGCAAUCGGAGAGAUUGAGGUCUGCAGCGUAGAUCCUUCGGGGUUAGAUACAUUUGUGCUAAGUUAUAGCUUUUCAUAGACAACUUGUUGACUAUGUUAGUCUUGUAGCUUACUCGCUUAUGCUAUUUUACCUACGCUUAGGAUGUUGAACUCUAUCACACACAG
This 773-nucleotide ribosomal RNA is filed under the name uncultured Neocallimastigales. RNAcentral's name for it is "partial large subunit ribosomal RNA". It matches the Rfam family "Eukaryotic large subunit ribosomal RNA", at positions 23 to 634 of the family's 3401-position model. The record is from RNAcentral. Lineage: Eukaryota; Fungi; Neocallimastigomycota; Neocallimastigomycetes; Neocallimastigales.